UACGUAGGGGGCAAGCGUUGUCCGGAAUUAUUGGGCGUAAAGAGCGCGUAGGCGGUCCGGUAAGUCGGCUGUGAAAGUCAAGGGCUCAACCCUUGAAAGCCGGCCGAUACUGUCGGACUAGAGUCCGGAAGAGGCGAGUGGAAUUCCCGGUGUAGCGGUGAAAUGCGCAGAUAUCAGGAGGAACACCAGCGGCGAAGGCGGCGCUCUGGGCCGGUACUGACGCUGAGGAGCGAAAGCGUGGGUAGCAAACAGG
RNAcentral lists this ribosomal RNA (253 nucleotides) under uncultured bacterium. RNAcentral's name for it is "partial 16S ribosomal RNA". It matches the Rfam family "Bacterial small subunit ribosomal RNA", at positions 524 to 776 of the family's 1533-position model. The record is from RNAcentral.